This is a long non-coding RNA of Symphalangus syndactylus (siamang), 772 nucleotides long. RefSeq lists it as uncharacterized. Lineage: Eukaryota; Metazoa; Chordata; Mammalia; Primates; Hylobatidae. The record is from RefSeq and is a predicted model, not a curated record.
CAGAAAGACACAGCCUGCAGAUACCUUGAUUUUAAUCCGGUGAGACGCACAGUGGACUUCUGACCUACAAAACUGAAUAAGAAUUGGACCUACCUCAAGAUCUGUUGAGAAGAUUAUGAGAGAGCUGAUGGAUCUAAAAGAUUGGUGCUUGGUAAUGACUGUCAAUUCUUUCUAUUACUUCUGUGUGUAAUCCAUCACCUAUCCUUGUUCAACACUUGUGAAAAUUGCAACCCCUUUCUGUACUGAGUAACAUGGAAACCUGUGUCUGCUCCUACAGCCCCCUGUUACAGCCUCCCUCUACCUGUUAUGAAUUGAUGUCUUCACCAGGUCAAAUAGGAAUGAGCCACAGAUGGCCAUACUUUGGGACACCUGCCAUCAGGUGGAACUUCUCAUCUGCCAGGCAACCACUCAGGGUACUCUCAGAAGUUCAUAGUGACUUGGAGUCCAGGAGAAUAAUGUCCAAUUCCAAAGCUGCUGCUGUUUUCAGGAAUAUCAGUGACUUCAUUCAUUAGUAUUGUCUCAAGGCCUUGAGCUACUGAUGGACACUUGGAUGGAGCAAGGUCAUAGGUGUGAACACCACAAACUACACAGUGAGGGGGGCUCUGCCAUACACUUGUUUGCAAUUUGUUAAGGGUGAGUAAGGUGACUCAGAAUGCAAAUCUACCAUUCACACAGAAAAGGAGGCAUUGCCUCCUGUAAGAAGGCUGGCAUUGUUUAAUGCAGUAGGAUUAAUCUGCAUUGAUUAAAACUGCCCAGCUGCUCAUGUCUUCAA